This 390-nucleotide long non-coding RNA is filed under the name Vitis vinifera (wine grape). RNAcentral describes it as "long non-coding RNA (VVIN_LNC008254)". The record is from RNAcentral. Lineage: Eukaryota; Viridiplantae; Streptophyta; Magnoliopsida; Vitales; Vitaceae.
UAUGAGCGAGUGGAAGAGAGUCCCCUCACGUGACCCUCUGGUUGUUCUCUUUCCUCACGUCAAAAACCCUAAACCCCUACAAUUCCAUCUUGAUUCUCUGCUCUGCAACUAAUGAGUCUUUGCCCAGCGGUUUCUAGGGUGUGGUUUUGCUUUGAGGUGCUUUGGUCUCUAUAUGCCAAAUCCAGGUAAUUUCUCUUGUAAGAUCUUUCUUUUUUUGAAUCAAUCUCUGUCGAAAUGGCUAAGCUUCCUUUGAAGAGUUUGCUUUGUUUGAUGCAAAAACGUUUCCUCACAACAUCUCCAACCCUGUAUAUAUCUUCGUUGUCUUCUGCAUCUUCAACAUUAUUAUCACCAUCGUACACAGCCCAAUUUCUUGUGAAAUCUUAAGGGCUU